GACGAACGCUGGCGGCGUGCCUAAUACAUGCAAGUAGAACGCACAGUUUAUACCGUAGCUUGCUACACCAUAGACUGUGAGUUGCGAACGGGUGAGUAACGCGUAGGUAACCUGCCUGGUAGCGGGGGAUAACUAUUGGAAACGAUAGCUAAUACCGCAUAAUAUUGAUUAUUGCAUGAUAAUUGAUUGAAAGAUGCUAUUGCAUCACUACCAGAUGGACCUGCGUUGUAUUAGCUAGUAGGUGAGGUAACGGCUCACCUAGGCGACGAUACAUAGCCGACCUGAGAGGGUGAUCGGCCACACUGGGACUGAGACACGGCCCAGACUCCUACGGGAGGCAGCAGUAGGGAAUCUUCGGCAAUGGACGAAAGUCUGACCGAGCAACACCGCGUGAGUGAAGAAGGUUUUCGGAUCGUAAAGCUCUGUUGUAAGAGAAGAACGGGUGUGAGAGUGGAAAGUUCACACUGUGACGGUAUCUUACCAGAAAGGGACGGCUAACUACGUG
RNAcentral lists this ribosomal RNA (505 nucleotides) under uncultured bacterium. RNAcentral describes it as "partial 16S ribosomal RNA". It matches the Rfam family "Bacterial small subunit ribosomal RNA", at positions 28 to 507 of the family's 1533-position model. The record is from RNAcentral.